RNAcentral lists this small RNA (110 nucleotides) under Metabacillus litoralis. RNAcentral's name for it is "Bacillus litoralis BsrF". It matches the Rfam family "BsrF". The record is from Rfam by way of RNAcentral. Lineage: Bacteria; Bacillati; Bacillota; Bacilli; Caryophanales; Bacillaceae.
GCGAUGAGCUGAAUUGUGUAAGUCGACAGACAUGCCAACUGGCUAAAUGCACGAUGUGGCGUGCAGUCUAUCGCCUCAAUACGCAAAAAAGACGUCUUUUAGACGUCUUU